GACGAACGCUGGCGGCGUGGAUUAGGCAUGCAAGUCGAACGGUAUCAUCCUUUCGGGGGUGAGAGAGUGGCGAACUGGUGAGUAACACGUAGGUUAUCUACCCUCAAGACGGGGACAACCCAGGGAAACUUGGGCUAAUACCGGAUGUGAGCAACUUUUAGUUGUUUGAAAGGUGGCGUAAGCUGUCGCUUGGGGAUGAGCCUGCGUCCUAUUAGUUAGUUGGUGAGGUAACGGCUCACCUAGGCAAUGAUAGGUAGGCGGCCUUAACGGGUGGUCGCCCACACUGGGAUUGAGAUACGGCCCAGACUCCUACGGGAGGCAGCAGUCGAGAAUAGUCUACAAUGGUCGGAAGACUGAUAGUGCGACGCCGCGUGAACGAUGAAUCCUUCGGGUGUAAAGUUCUUUUAUAUGUGAGCAGUGCUUCUUAUAUUAACAGUAUGGGGAGAGAGAUAUUAGCAUAUGAAUAAGCAACGGCUAACUCCGUGCCAGCAGCCGCGUAAC
RNAcentral lists this ribosomal RNA (501 nucleotides) under uncultured bacterium. RNAcentral's name for it is "bacterial SSU rRNA". It matches the Rfam family "Bacterial small subunit ribosomal RNA", at positions 28 to 524 of the family's 1533-position model. The record is from RNAcentral.